This 253-nucleotide ribosomal RNA is filed under the name uncultured bacterium. RNAcentral describes it as "partial 16S ribosomal RNA". It matches the Rfam family "Bacterial small subunit ribosomal RNA", at positions 524 to 776 of the family's 1533-position model. The record is from RNAcentral.
UACGUAGGGGGCUAGCGUUGUCCGGAUUUAUUGGGCGUAAAGAGCGUGUAGGCGGCCCGAUAAGUCCGCCGUGAAAGUCCAGGGCUCAACCCUGGAAUGCCGGUGGAAACUGUCGGGCUGGAGUCCGGAAGAGGCGAGUGGAAUUCCUGGUGUAGCGGUGAAAUGCGCAGAUAUCGUAAGGAAGACCAGUGGCGAAGGCGGGUCUCUGGACAGUUCCUGACGCUGAGGCACGAAGGUCAGGGGAGCAAACGGG